GUCAAGUUAGUUUAAUAAAAAAUAUCAGCCUGUGGAUUUGAAGAUGAAAUUAAUUUUCACUUGACC
This 66-nucleotide transfer RNA is filed under the name Purpuradusta gracilis. RNAcentral's name for it is "tRNA-His". It matches the Rfam family "tRNA". From Rfam's summary of the family: Transfer RNA (tRNA) molecules are approximately 80 nucleotides in length. Their secondary structure includes four short double-helical elements and three loops (D, anti-codon, and T loops). The record is from RNAcentral. Lineage: Eukaryota; Metazoa; Mollusca; Gastropoda; Littorinimorpha; Cypraeidae.